CCUACAGGGUGCAGCAGUGAGGAAUAUUGCUCAAUGGGCGGAAGCCUGAACCAGCCAAGCAGCGUGCAUGAUGACGGCCCUACGGGUUGUAAAUUGCUUUUAUACGGGAAUAACGCGCCUUACGUGUAGGGCUUUGCAUGUACCGUAUGAAUAAGGACCGGCUAAUUCCGUGCCAGCAGCCGCGGUAAUACGGAGGGUCCGGGCGUUAUCCGGAUUUAUUGGGUUUAAAGGGAGCGUAGGCCGCAUGUCAAGCGUGCUGUGAAAUGUCCGGGCUCAACCCGGGCCUUGCAGCGCGAACUGGCGUGCUUGAGUCCGCGGAAAGCAGGCGGAAUGCGUGGUGUAGCGGUGAAAUGCUUAGAUAUGACGAAGAACCCCGAUUGCGAAGGCAGCUUGCUGGAGCGGAACUGACGCUGAGGCUCGAAAGCGCGGGUAGCGAACAGGAUUAGAUACCCUGGUAGUC
Molecule: ribosomal RNA, 460 nt
Filed under: uncultured bacterium
Lineage: Bacteria
Description: partial 16S ribosomal RNA
Rfam family: Bacterial small subunit ribosomal RNA
Source: RNAcentral